GACGAACGCUGGCGGCGUGCCUAAUACAUGCAAGUAGAACGCACAGUUUAUACCGUAGCUUGCUACACCAUAGACUGUGAGUUGCGAACGGGUGAGUAACGCGUAGGUAACCUGCCUGGUAGCGGGGGAUAACUAUUGGAAACGAUAGCUAAUACCGCAUAAUAUUAAUUAUUGCAUGAUAAUUAAUUGAAAGGAGCAAUUGCACCACUACCAGAUGGACCUGCGUUGUAUUAGCUAGUAGGUGAGGUAACGGCGCACCUAGGCGACGAUACAUAGCCGACCUUGGCGGGUGAUCGGCCACCUUGGGACUUGGACACGGCCCAUACGCCUACGGGAGGCCGCAGUAGGGAAUCUUCGGCAAUGGACGAAAGUCUGGCCGAGCAACGCCGCGUGAGUGAAGAAGGUUUUCGGUUCGUAAAGCUCUGUUGUAAGGGAAGAACGGGUGUGAGAGUGGAAAGUUCACACUGUGACGGUAUCUUACCAGAAAGGGACGGCUAACUACGUG
This 505-nucleotide ribosomal RNA is filed under the name uncultured bacterium. RNAcentral's name for it is "partial 16S ribosomal RNA". It matches the Rfam family "Bacterial small subunit ribosomal RNA", at positions 28 to 507 of the family's 1533-position model. The record is from RNAcentral.